Molecule: unclassified non-coding RNA, 352 nt
Filed under: soil metagenome
Description: partial contains 5.8S ribosomal RNA, internal transcribed spacer 2, and large subunit ribosomal RNA
Rfam family: 5.8S ribosomal RNA (bases 1-120)
Source: RNAcentral
GAUGAAGAACGCAGCGAAAUGCGAUAAGUAAUGUGAAUUGCAGAAUUCAGUGAAUCAUCGAAUCUUUGAACGCACAUUGCGCCCGCCAGUAUUCUGGCGGGCAUGCCUGUUCGAGCGUCAUUACAACCCUCAGGCCCCCGGGCCUGGCGUUGGGGAUCGGCGGAAGCCCCCUGCGGGCACAACGCCGUCCCCCAAAUACAGUGGCGGUCCCGCCGCAGCUUCCAUUGCGUAGUAGCUAACACCUCGCAACUGGAGAGCGGCGCGGCCACGCCGUAAACACCCAACUUCUUAAUGUUGACCUCGAAUCAGGUAGGAAUACCCGCUGAACUUAAGCAUAUCAAUAAGCGGAGGA